UACGUAGGGGGCUAGCGUUGUCCGGAAUCAUUGGGCGUAAAGAGCGUGUAGGCGGCUUGGUAAGUCCGCUGUGAAAGUCCAGGGCUCAACCCUGGAAUGCCAGUGGAUACUGUCAAGCUAGAGUCCGGAAGAGGCGAGUGGAAUUCCUGGUGUAGACGGUGAAAUGCGCAGAUAUCAGGAGGAACACCAAUGGCGAAGGCAGCUCGCUGGGACGGUACUGACGCUGAGACGCGAAAGCGUGGGGAGCAAACAGG
RNAcentral lists this ribosomal RNA (254 nucleotides) under uncultured bacterium. RNAcentral's name for it is "partial 16S ribosomal RNA". It matches the Rfam family "Bacterial small subunit ribosomal RNA", at positions 524 to 776 of the family's 1533-position model. The record is from RNAcentral.